RNAcentral lists this ribosomal RNA (1199 nucleotides) under Poecilopsetta plinthus (tile-colored righteye flounder). RNAcentral's name for it is "partial 16S ribosomal RNA". It matches the Rfam family "Bacterial large subunit ribosomal RNA", at positions 585 to 2558 of the family's 2925-position model. The record is from RNAcentral. Lineage: Eukaryota; Metazoa; Chordata; Actinopteri; Pleuronectiformes; Poecilopsettidae.
GCAGAGAUUUAACCUUGUACCUUUUGCAUCAUGAUUUAGCUAGCACCCUUAAGCAAAGAGCCCUUUAGUUUAUUCCCCCGAAACUAGGUGAGCUACUUCAAGACAGCCUAUUAAUAGGGCAAACCCGUCUCUGUGGCAAAAGAGUGGGAAGAUCUUCGAGUAGAGGUGACAGACCUACCGAACCCAGUUAUAGCUGGUUGACUGAGAAUUGGAUAGAAGUUCAGCCUCCCGGCUUCUCCCUCAACCGAGAGAGUUAGUUAAAGGGGGUACAGCCCCUUUAAAAAAAGAUACAACUUUAACAGGCGGAUAAAGAUCAUAAUUAACCAAGGAGAUAUAUUUUAGUGGGCCUAAAAGCAGCCAUCCUGAAAGAAAGCGUUAAAGCUCAAAUAUAAAUACUGAUCUCCCCAAUCUUAAUCCCCUCCUAAAUAUCAGUCUAUUCUAUGCCCCCAUAGAAGAAACUAUGCUAAUAUGAGUAAUAAGAGAACCCUCUCUCCCCGCACAUGUGUAAAUCGGAACGGACCUCCCACCGAAAACUAACGGCCCCAAACCAAGAGGGCACUGAAAAUGAACUAGAAAAGGAUUCACCGUUAAUUCUACACUGAUGUGCACCCAAGGAAAGACUAAAAGAAAAAGAAGGAACUCGGCAAACAAGCCUCGCCUGUUUACCAAAAACAUCGCCUCUUGCAAGAAUAAGAGGUCCCGCCUGCCCAGUGACAACAGUUCAACGGCCGCGGUAUUUUGACCGUGCUAAGGUAGCGUAAUCACUUGUCUUUUAAAUGAAGACCUGUAUGAAUGGCAUAACGAGGGCUUAACUGUCUCCUUUUUCAAGUCAAUGAAAUUGAUCUCCCCGUGCAGAAGCGGGGAUAAACACAUAAGACGAGAAGACCCUAUGGAGCUUUAGAUGUUAAGACAGCCUAUGUUAAGAGUACCCAAUAAAGGAUUAAACUAAAUAGGCUCUGCCUAAAUGUCUUCGGUUGGGGCGACCUUGGGGAAACACAAAACCCCCACGAGGAACAGGAGCACUCCUAGAAAUUAGAACUACACUUCUAAUAAACAGAACUUCUGACCAAAAAUGAUCCGGCAAAGCCGAUCAACGAACCAAGUUACCCUAGGGAUAACAGCGCAAUCCCCUUUUAGAGUCCAUAUCGACAAGGGGGUUUACGACCUCGAUGUUGGAUCAGGACAUCCUAAUGGUGCAG